This 1335-nucleotide long non-coding RNA is filed under the name Papio anubis (olive baboon). RNAcentral describes it as "lncRNA (ENSPANG00000037583.1)". Lineage: Eukaryota; Metazoa; Chordata; Mammalia; Primates; Cercopithecidae. The record is from RNAcentral.
GGAGAAAGAAGAAGAACCAGAUGGCUGAGUAGAACCUUCUAGCAAUCAUCUCCCUAUAGGAACAUCAAAUUGAACAGCUAUCUACAUAAAGCACCUUCCUAAGGACAAAAAAUUCAGGUCACUGAUCACAGUACCUACUUUUAACAUAGUAACAAGUAGAGAGUCAUUUGAAGAGAGUAGCAAAGACAGUCUUACAUUGCCUGCACCACCUCUCCUCCAGCUAGUGUAAGCAUGGAGAGAGAAGCUGUGCCUGGGGGAAGGAGAGGAAAGUGAGUGUGGAACUUAGAAGUGGAACUCAGUGCCUCCCUGUCACAGUGGAAUAAUAAUGUAGCUGUUUGCCCCUGGAGGAGGCAUAUAGCCCAGCCCUGGACUAGAGAAUCCUCUGCUCCAGUGGAAGGAAACUAAAUCCUGGCCAGCUUCACUAUUGGCUGACUUAAAUAAUGGGGGCCUGAAUUAAUUUGUGUGGCAGUUGGUCCACAGGACUGCAAUUCUUGGGCAAGCCAAGGAGCUGCCCUGGUCUCAGAGGCAGUGGACUUUGGAUGUAACCCAGUGUGACACCGACUGCAGUGGCCAUGGGAAUGUUUGCACCACCUUCCCCCCAACUCCUGACAGAGAAGUUCAUGGAAUGACAUUUCCCACUUAGAGGAGAGAGUACAGAAGACUUUGUUUCGCAACUUGGGUACCAGCAGCUCAGGCACAGUAAAAUAAAGCACCAAGAAGAUUCCUAAACGCCUUGAUUCCUGGAUUUUGCUCCUGGACUAUGUUCCUAGACUCAUUCUGAACCAGAAGGCAGUCCAUUAUACAUGGAUGUAUACAACAAAUCUAAGAGUUAUUGGGAUUAAGAAGGAUGGGGUAAGAGACAGACAGAGAGGGAGAGGAAAAUUGGGGUAGAAAACGCAUUCAAAUAGUAAUACAGAAGUUUACAAAAUAGAGAAAGACGUGAAUAGACACAUACAAGGUGAUUCAACCCAAAUAAGACUAUUUCGGCAUAUAUAAUUAUCAAGGUCAAAGAUCAAAGAUUCUCAAAAGCAGCAAAAGAAAAGAGGAAAACACCAUAUAAAGCUCUAAUACAUCUGGCGGCAGACUUAGCAGAAACUUUACUUGCAAGGAGGGAGUGGGAUGACAUAUUUAAGGAAUAUGUUUCUCUUGAAAAAUAUUGGAGUAUAAAGACACCCACUUAAGAAAAAUUCUGACACAUACACAUUUAAAUGUUUUUCUUCUUCUUCAAAUUGAAUGUAAGUAUAAAAGAGCAACAUAUGCAGCAUUUGAAAAUCAUUAUCACCAUUAAAUUAGGCAGCUGUUAAUGUUAUUGUGAUUUUUGGUUAUUAAUGUAUA